This 38-nucleotide transfer RNA is filed under the name Opuntia polyacantha var. arenaria. RNAcentral describes it as "partial tRNA-Phe". The record is from RNAcentral. Lineage: Eukaryota; Viridiplantae; Streptophyta; Magnoliopsida; Caryophyllales; Cactaceae.
GUAGAGCAGAGGACUGAAAAUCCUCGUGUCACCAGUUC